This 424-nucleotide ribosomal RNA is filed under the name uncultured bacterium. RNAcentral's name for it is "bacterial SSU rRNA". It matches the Rfam family "Bacterial small subunit ribosomal RNA", at positions 356 to 772 of the family's 1533-position model. The record is from RNAcentral.
GGGGAAUAUUGGACAAUGGGCGCAAGCCUGAUCCAGCCAUGCCGCGUGAGUGGAGAAGGCCUUCGGGUUGUAAAGCUCUUUUGUUGGGGAAGAAAAGCAUCCGGUUAAUACCCGGGUGUUCUGACGGUACCCAACGAAUAAGCCACGGCUAACUACGUGCCAGCAGCCGCGGUAAUACGUAGGUGGCAAGCGUUGUCCGGAUUUAUUGGGUUUAAAGGGUGCGUAGGCGGUCCUAUAAGUCAGUGCUGAAAUAUCCCGGCUUAACCGGGAGGGUGGCAUUGAUACUGCAGGACUUGAGUAAAGUUGAGGUGGGCGGAAUUGACGGUGUAGCGGUGAAAUGCUUAGAUAUCGUCAAGAACACCGAUUGCGAAGGCAGCUCACUAAGCUUUAACUGACGCUGAGGCACGAAAGUGUGGGGAUCAAA